CGUAGUAGGUGAUAGUCCUGUAAGCGAAAGGGAAAAGGCUCUCGUUAUGCUCUUAAGUACCACUGGACACGUGAAAUCUUGUGGGAACCCGCCUCGACCACCAGGCAAGGCUAAACACUCUUGGCGACCGAUAGUGAAUCAGUACCGUGAGGGAAAGGUGAAAAGCACCCCGGGAGCGGAGUGAAAUAGAACUGAAACCGCAAGCUUACAACCAGUCAGAGGGUGCAGCAAUGCAUCUAAUGGCGUGCCUAUUGAAGAAUGAGCCAUCGAGUUAAUGGGUGUGGCAAGGUUAAGCGUCUUGAGACGUGGAGCCGUAGCGAAAGCGAGUCCGAAUAAGGCGACAAGUCGCACUCAUUAGAUCCGAAACCGUGUGAGCUAACCUUGGUCAGGGUGAAGCCCCGAUAAAACGGGGUGGAGGUCCGAACCUAUGAAUAGUACAAAAUUUAGGGAUGAACUGAGGUUAGAGGUGAAAUGCCAAACGAACUCGGAGAUAGCUGAUUCUCCCCGAAAUGUAUUUAGGUACAGCCUCAGCAAGUAAGUUACGGGGGUAGGGCACUGAAUGGGCUAGGGGGUAUACAACUUACCAAACUCAAUCAAACCACGAAUACCGUAACUGUAAUACUGAGAGUGAGCCGGCGAGGGCUAAGCUUCGUCGACGAGAGGGGAACAUCCCAGAUCCGCAGCUAAGAUCCCUAAGUGCAGUCUAAGUGUUAAAGGAAGUCAGAUCGCUCAAACAACCAGGAUGUUGGCUUAGAAGCAGCCAUCAUUUAAAGAGUGCGUAAUAGCUCACUGGUCGAGCGGUUUGGCGCCAACAACGUAACGGGGCUUAAGUCUGCCAUCGAAGCUCGGAAUUGGCGCGCAAGCGCCACUGGUAGGGGAGCGUUCUGUUCAGCAGCGAAGGUGUGCCGUGAGACACGCUGGAGCGGACAGAAGUGCGAAUGAUGGUAUGAGUAGCGCAUUGAAUGUGAAAACCAUUCACACCGGAAACCUAAGGUUUCCUACGCAACGUCAAUCGGCGUAGGGUUAGUCGGUCCUAAGCAGAGGGCGCAAGCCGUAUGCGAUGGAUAGCAGGUUUAUAUUCCUGCACUGUGUGUUUUUCGUUAUCAACUAAGGGAGGACGCAGGGAGAUAGUCAGAGCGCACCCAUUGGACAUGGUGCGUCUUGCAUGGUAGGCCAUGCUCUGGUAGGCAAAUCCGCCAGGGCGCUAUGAGCCGAGAGUGUGAGGAAGUGGAGGAGCGAUCCGAAGCGAUUCAGGCGAGUCUGCGCUGCCAAGAAAAUUCUCGUAGUGAGAAGAACAUGCAUCCGUACCGCAAACCGACACUGGUAGGUGGGGAUAAACGUCCCAAGGUGAACGGAAGAACCUUCGUUAAGGAACUAGGCAAUCUAGCCUCGUAACUUCGGGAUAAGAGGUGCCUCGGAGUGUCAGGAGAUUUACUCUCUAAAGCACCCUGAGGUUGCAGUGAAAUGGCUCAGGCGACUGUUUAACAAAAACACAGGCAUCUGCAAAAGCGUAAGCUGAAGUAUAGGUGCUGACGCGUGCCCAAUGUCGGAAGGUUAAAGGGAGAUGUCAGCGCAAGCGAAGCAUUGAACUGAAGCCCCGAUGAACGGCGGCCGUAACUAUAACGGUCCUAAGGUAGCGAAAUCCCUUGUCAGGUAAGUUCUGACCCGCAUGAAUCGCGCAACGAUCUGAGCGCUGUCUCAA
RNAcentral lists this ribosomal RNA (1702 nucleotides) under groundwater metagenome. Its description in RNAcentral is "bacterial LSU rRNA". It matches the Rfam family "Bacterial large subunit ribosomal RNA", at positions 356 to 2024 of the family's 2925-position model. The record is from RNAcentral.